GUACACGCUGUGACUAGCAUAUCAAUAAGCGGAGGAAAAGAAACUAACAAGGAUUCCCCUAGUAACGGCGAGUGAAGCGGGAAGAGCUCAAAUUUGAAAUCUUAAAGGGUUUCCCUUUACGAAUUGUAGUUUAAAGAAGUGUUUUCUGUUGAGGUUUUGGUAAAAGUUCUUUGGAAUAGGACAUCAUAGAGGGUGAGAAUCCCGUAUUUGACCUUUACUUUCAACUUUGUGAUACACUUUCAAAGAGUCGGAUUGUUUGGGAAUGCAGUCCAAAAUGGGUGGUAAAUUUCAUCUAAAGCUAAAUAUUGGCGAGAGACCGAUAGCGAACAAGUACCGUGAGGGAAAGAUGAAAAGAACUUUGAAAAGAGAGUUAAACAGUACGUGAAAUUGUCAAAAGGGAAGCGUUUGACACCAGUGUUGUUUUUCUGAAAUCAAUUAAAGAACUGUUUAUGCUAAGCUGUUUAGACUUUAUCAGCUAUCUGUUUAGUUUUGAGCUUUUCUUUAAUGCACUUUUCAGUUAACAAGUCAACAUCAAUUUCUUUUGCUGUAAAAAAGCUUGAGGAAGGUGGCUUGAGAUUCGUCUUAAGUGUUUAUAGCCUCUUGCCUAUGCAGUCGGAGAGAUUGAGGUCUGCAGCGUAGAUCCUUCGGGGCUAAAUGCAUUUGUGCUAAGUUAUAGCAUUUUAUAGACAACUUGUUGACUAUGGUUUGUCUUGUAGCUUACUCGCUUAUGUUAUUUUACCUACGCUUAGGAUGUUGAAGUCAUCGUAUCGCGC
This 773-nucleotide ribosomal RNA is filed under the name uncultured Neocallimastigales. Its description in RNAcentral is "partial large subunit ribosomal RNA". It matches the Rfam family "Eukaryotic large subunit ribosomal RNA", at positions 22 to 645 of the family's 3401-position model. The record is from RNAcentral. Lineage: Eukaryota; Fungi; Neocallimastigomycota; Neocallimastigomycetes; Neocallimastigales.